GGCGAAUGACGGGCCAGGUGCGGCGGGAAGACGGAGGGGGAAGGCGUGGGCCGGAAUUAGUGUGCGGAAAGCGCGCGCAGGCGGUUCGUUAAUGGUGAGGUGAAAGCCCACGGCUCAACCGUGGAGGGUCAUUGGAAACUGGGGGAAUUGAGUGCAGAAGAGGAAAGCGGAAUUCCACGUGUAGCGGUGAAAUGCGUAGAGAUGUGGAGGAACACCAGUGGCGAAGGCGGCUUUCUGGUCUGUAACUGACGCUGAGGCGCGAAAGCGUGGGGAGCAAACAGGAUUAGAUACCCUAUAGUC
Molecule: ribosomal RNA, 300 nt
Filed under: uncultured Lactobacillus sp.
Lineage: Bacteria; Bacillati; Bacillota; Bacilli; Lactobacillales; Lactobacillaceae
Description: bacterial SSU rRNA
Rfam family: Bacterial small subunit ribosomal RNA
Source: RNAcentral